Molecule: ribosomal RNA, 1196 nt
Filed under: Listeria monocytogenes
Lineage: Bacteria; Bacillati; Bacillota; Bacilli; Caryophanales; Listeriaceae
Description: partial 23S ribosomal RNA
Rfam family: Bacterial large subunit ribosomal RNA
Source: RNAcentral
UUGGUUAAGUUAGAAAGGGCGCACGGUGGAUGCCUUGGCACUAGGAGCCGAAGAAGGACGGGACUAACACCGAUAUGCUUUGGGGAGCUGUACGUAAGCGUUGAUCCAGAGAUUUCCGAAUGGGGGAACCCACUAUCUUUAGUCGGAUAGUAUCCUUACGUGAAUACAUAGCGUGAGGAAGGCAGACCCAGGGAACUGAAACAUCUAAGUACCUGGAGGAAGAGAAAGAAAAAUCGAUUUCCUGAGUAGCGGCGAGCGAAACGGAAAGAGCCCAAACCAAGAAGCUUGCUUCUUGGGGUUGUAGGACACUCUAUACGGAGUUACAAAAGAAAGUUAUAAAUGAAGCGGUCUGGAAAGGCCCGCCAAAGACGGUAACAGCCCGGUAGUUGAAAUAGCUUUCCCUCCAGAGUGGAUCCUGAGUACGGCGGAACACGUGAAAUUCCGUCGGAAUCCGGGAGGACCAUCUCCCAAGGCUAAAUACUCCCUAGUGACCGAUAGUGAACCAGUACCGUGAGGGAAAGGUGAAAAGCACCCCGGAAGGGGAGUGAAACAGUUCCUGAAACCGUGUGCCUACAAGUAGUUAGAGCCCGUUAAUGGGUGAUAGCGUGCCUUUUGUAGAAUGAACCGGCGAGUUACGAUUUGUUGCAAGGUUAAGCGGAAAAAGCGGAGCCGUAGCGAAAGCGAGUCUGAAUAGGGCGCAUAAGUAACAGGUCGUAGACCCGAAACCAGGUGAUCUACCCAUGUCCAGGAUGAAGGUAAGGUAAUACUUACUGGAGGUCCGAACCCACGCACGUUGAAAAGUGCGGGGAUGAGGUGUGGGUAGCGGAGAAAUUCCAAUCGAACUUGGAGAUAGCUGGUUCUCUCCGAAAUAGCUUUAGGGCUAGCCUCGAGGUAAAGAGUCAUGGAGGUAGAGCACUGUUUGGACUAGGGGCCCUUCUCGGGUUACCGAAUUCAGAUAAACUCCGAAUGCCAUGUACUUAUACUCGGGAGUCAGACUGCGAGUGAUAAGAUCCGUAGUCGAAAGGGAAACAGCCCAGACCACCAGUUAAGGUCCCCAAAUAUAUGUUAAGUGGAAAAGGAUGUGGGGUUGCUUAGACAACCAGGAUGUUGGCUUAGAAGCAGCCACCAUUGAAAGAGUGCGUAAUAGCUCACUGGUCGAGUGACCCCGCGCCGAAAAUGUACCGGGGCUAAACAUA